This is a long non-coding RNA of Ficedula albicollis (Collared flycatcher), 205 nucleotides long. RefSeq lists it as uncharacterized. The record is from RefSeq and is a predicted model, not a curated record. Lineage: Eukaryota; Metazoa; Chordata; Aves; Passeriformes; Muscicapidae. The transcript is spliced from 3 exons.
UGGGGGUUCCAUGGGUGCCUGGAGCUGCCGAGGCCCCAGGGACGUUCAGGGGUCCUGGGGUCCCCACGGUCACCCCCUCCCCUUUUCCUUGCAGCCACCAGGAAGCCCCAGGACAGGACCCCCCGGAGGAGGGGGCGGUGCUGGACCCCCACUUGGGCACCGAGCGGGCAGGGGGUGACCACGAGGAGCUGCCGGGACCCCAGGA